This 845-nucleotide ribosomal RNA is filed under the name uncultured Hygrophorus. Its description in RNAcentral is "eukaryotic LSU rRNA". It matches the Rfam family "Eukaryotic large subunit ribosomal RNA", at positions 72 to 901 of the family's 3401-position model. The record is from RNAcentral. Lineage: Eukaryota; Fungi; Basidiomycota; Agaricomycetes; Agaricales; Hygrophoraceae.
GGAUUCCCCCUAGUACUGCGAGUGAAGCGGGAAAAGCUCAAAUUUAAAAUCUGAUGGUCUUAUGGCUGUCCGAGUUGUAAUCUAGAGAAGUGUUUUCCGCGCUGGACCGUGUACAAGUCUCUUGGAACAGAGCAUCAUAGAGGGUGAGAAUCCCGUCUUUGACACAGACUACCAGUGCUUAUGUGAUUCGCUCUCAAAGAGUCGAGUUGUUUGGGAAUGCAGCUCAAAAUGGGUGGUAAAUUCCAUCUAAAGCUAAAUAUUGGCGAGAGACCGAUAGCGAACAAGUACCGUGAGGGAAAGAUGAAAAGAACUUUGGAAAGAGAGUUAAACAGUACGUGAAAUUGUUGAAAGGGAAACGCUUGAAGUCAGUCAUGUUGGCCAGAAAUCAACCUUGUUUUUGCUGGGUGUACUUUCUGGUUUUACGGGUCAGCAUCAAUUUUGACUGUUGGAUAAAAGCUAAUAUUUAUUCAUCUUCGGAUGUGUAGCCUUUGGUUGUAUACAACAGUUGGGAUUGAGGAACUCAGCACGCCGUAAAGGCCGGGUCCUUGGACCACGUACGUGCUUAGGAUGCUGGCAUAAUGGCUUUAAUCGACCCGUCUUGAAACACGGACCAAGGAGUCUAACAUGCCCGCGAGUGUUUGGGUGGAAAACCCGAGCGCGUAAUGAAAGUGAAAAGUUGAGAUCUUCGUCAUGGAGAGCAUCGACGCCCGGACCAGAUCUUUUGUGACGGUUCCGCGGUAGAGCGUGUAUGUUGGGACCCGAAAGAUGGUGAACUAUGCCUGAAUAGGGUGAAGCCAGAGGAAACUCUGGUGGAGGCUCGUAGCGAUUCUGACGUGCAAAAUCCA